Molecule: long non-coding RNA, 2826 nt
Organism: Gallus gallus (chicken)
Lineage: Eukaryota; Metazoa; Chordata; Aves; Galliformes; Phasianidae
Exons: 3
Source: RefSeq, a predicted model, not a curated record
AGUGCUGUAAGCGGCGGUCCCGACAGCGUCCCGCUGUCCGCGGGGCUCUGGGCUGCCUCUCUGGCGGCGCACACAGCGGGCCGUGGCGCGGGAGGAGAUGGGGGGAGCGGGGCCGUCCUAACGGGGUACCGCGGUGUUGGCUACCCGGCCUCACCCCGCAGCUGUUCUACAGAGCGCUGUGAUCAUUUAUAAUGCGUGUAAACGGGGUUGGUUAGAAAUCUCUUUAAUCUCCGUUUAUUAAAGCACAGCCCUUCCCAACUAGACCGAGUAAUGGGCACGUAGGGAAUGAGUUCUGGAAUUUCACAAUGGAAUUCCUAAAUAGCAAAUGCAUAAUAAUGCUAUGGGAGUUUGCAUGCACUCUUCUAAUUAGGAAGCUUUCUAAAAUCGCAUCCUUUUGAAGUUUGGAAACCUCUAUGUUUCCGGCCUAAAUGUAUUCCCACUCAUUUCAUACCCAUUUGUUCUGGUGCCACUUCUCUUCUUUGGCUUCGGUAGCCCUCCUCUCUGCUUGUUUACCCCCCACUUCAUUUCUAGAAAGCAGCCGUACCCCUUCGUUUUACUGGGCUGAUAAUCCCAGCCGCCUCCAUUCUCCAGCACUGAGGUACAGGACUGCCCCGUGGCCCUAAGCUGUAUGGACUAAGGUAGCUGUAGGACUAAGCUGUAUGAACCGGGUUGGAGUCUGGGGAAGGCAGACAGCAGGAAUGUCGGAUAACGCACAGGCUGUGAAGCGCUCCUCAGCACGAGACUUUCCAAUGACUGUUACUGCAAAACGUCCAUCAUUAAGCAACCAAGCUACCCAUUGCCACUGAAGCCUCUUGGCUUUGCAACUUCUCACCAUGAAUUCUCGUAGUCCUGGAGCCUGGAAUAUUGGAGAGGAGUGAAAGAAACACUCAGAAAGCAGAAGAGUACCGACGGGCUCAGUCUGUAAGGAAUUGGCUCCAUUCUGCUACUGAUUUCUUUUUCUAGUUACAAAUAUAGUAAAAAAGAGUAUCCUGAAAUGAGCAGCUCAAGCAUGGUGAUUCCAGGCUUUAAUUUUUCUCCCCCUUCUGUAAGUGUCUCUAUUGAGAAGCCCCAGCCCUGUAUCUGGCUGAACUCUAGGAACCUUUCAGGAAUUUGAGACGGUUUUCUUUCAGAGCCAGAAGUUACAGAGCAGCAACUUUAAAGAAGACAGUGCCUGUGCCCAGGUUGCUGCAUUCUGCACUCAAUGCUAUUUACAUUUCUGUUGCUAAGAUCUCCGCUUCUGAGCAAAGGCUGCACCGUAUUUUGUAAGUUGACCGCAGCCCGUGUAGAUAAGGAAAACACAUUCCACCUUUGUAAAGAAGCUGCUUUUGUUGGUUUUGUUUCUUUGCUCUGAAAGGAAAGUGCCACGGGGAGUUCAGGCUUCCAGAUGGGCAGUUUUCAUGUUUCAGCUCAGUUGCAAGUUGCAUCGGGGAACCUUUUGAAAAACAGAAAUACAUAUAGAAGAGGGGCAGAGAAAAUGACUGCCCUGUCAUCUCUUCACCUUUUAUUGCAAGGGAUUACAAAAAAUAAUGUAGUGUUUGGUUUCUUUGGCCUUUCACAGGCGUCUUUACAAAAGUUUGCACAUCUGAAACACAGAGGGACCAUAUGUCACCUCUCGCUGCCCGGCACAUCCACUGUUGAGGUUUUGAGGUCUACAUUGUCUGCCAACAGCAGGCACCGGCAAAAGGCUUUUCCCCAAUGUAAUCCAUAGUCAGACAUGCAAGCCCGGCCCUAAAAGCAUUGCUCUUUGCUGUAGUGUAGCGUGAUGUAUUUCAAAAAUAAGUGUUUUUUACAAGUUAAUAUCUCCAAAGAGAAAAAUAAAAGUGUUUAUUGAGUGCUGUGGUUUGCCUUCACCUUGCAUUAACGAUCUCCUUGCGGUACAGAAAGCUGCCAAAUUUGACCUUUCCUAAGAAAGACACAAAAGAGGGCACAGCAGCAAUUCAGCUAAACAAAAUGUGUGCAAACUGCUUCCUGGUACACCCACGUGCUGGCCCCACUGCAAAGUAAUUAAAAUUGUCAAGAGAGAUUUUGACCAGUUAAGUUCUUCCAGGAAUGGUACAGCUCGUUCUGAACUCUCAGUUCACAGAACGCUCACUUUCUGGCUUACUGAAGUAGUCCCAGAGUUCGUGUUAUAAAAUAGCAGAAAUUGCUAGAAGGUUUGGGCUGACUGGAUGGGAACUGGCCAGACUAACUGCUGCAAAAUGGUGUUCCUUCUUGUUUAAAAAUAUACAUAUAGCCUGAAAGUAGUACGGAUGGAGCACACCAGAUGAUGUCCUGCCUCAGAAACAGCCAGCAGAGGAGAGGACCAGAGAGCCACUGGUUGGACUGCUGCUACUUGGAUAGAGCCCUGAAAAAACCCUCAGCACGGACACACGUCGGCUUCUGGGUUAGCAGGGAAAUAGGCACAGAGAAGUCAGUGGUGGAGUGUCAGCCCCACUGAUCAUAGCCUGAGUUAAAAAAUGGUAAUAUAGCAUUGUAGUGCAUUCACACUGCUAUCCUACCUGUGCCUAUCUCGCUCAGCCACAAAGGGACAACACACUGAGGACAGGGUGGCUCAUCGCUUCAUCUCUCCAGUGACACCAACAACGAGGCUACCAAUUAGUCCCAGUUUUAAUGUGGCUUUUAUCUGAUCUGAACUCUCCAUUCUUACAGCAUCCCUCUAAUGAGCUGCCCACAGCUCAUGAAAUUUGCUUAUUAUCUAAGAAUCUUAGCUUUUAUGUAUUGUUGUUAUGAGCGGCGGUAGUACUGAUGAUAAGAAUAAUUAUGAUGUUUAGUUGUAAGAGUUGUGGGGACUUGGAAAUAUGAAAGUAAAAAAAAAAAGCAAAAAAA